This 274-nucleotide ribosomal RNA is filed under the name uncultured bacterium. Its description in RNAcentral is "partial 16S ribosomal RNA". It matches the Rfam family "Bacterial small subunit ribosomal RNA", at positions 523 to 796 of the family's 1533-position model. The record is from RNAcentral.
AUACGGAGGGUGCAAGCGUUAAUCGGAAUUACUGGGCGUAAAGCGUGCGUAGGUGGUUUGUUAAGUCAGAUGUGAUAGCCCCGGGCUCAACCUGGGAACUGCAUUUGAAACUGGCAUACUAGAGUAUAGGAGAGGAAAGUGGAAUUUCAGGUGUAGCGGUGAAAUGCGUAGAUAUCUGAAGGAACAUCAAUGGCGAAGGCAGCUUUCUGGACUAAUACUGACACUGAGGUACGAAAGCGUGGGUAGCAAACAGGAUUAGAAACCCUAGUAGUCC